RNAcentral lists this non-coding RNA (23 nucleotides) under Cricetulus griseus (Chinese hamster). The record is from RNAcentral. Lineage: Eukaryota; Metazoa; Chordata; Mammalia; Rodentia; Cricetidae.
UGGGGAACCGGGAGGAGGGCCCG